RNAcentral lists this ribosomal RNA (236 nucleotides) under Salmonella enterica subsp. enterica serovar Infantis. RNAcentral describes it as "partial 23S ribosomal RNA". It matches the Rfam family "Bacterial large subunit ribosomal RNA", at positions 1 to 228 of the family's 2925-position model. The record is from RNAcentral. Lineage: Bacteria; Pseudomonadati; Pseudomonadota; Gammaproteobacteria; Enterobacterales; Enterobacteriaceae. RNAcentral also lists the same sequence under 3 other names.
GGGUUGUGAGGUUAAGCGACUAAGCGUACACGGUGGAUGCCCUGGCAGUCAGAGGCGAUGAAGGGCGUGCUAAUCUGCGAUAAGCGCCGGUAAGGUGAUAUGAACCGUUAUAACCGGCGAUACCCGAAUGGGGAAACCCAGUGUGAUUCGUCACACUAUCAUUAACUGAAUCCAUAGGUUAAUGAGGCGAACCGGGGGAACUGAAACAUCUAAGUACCCCGAGGAAAAGAAAUCAA